UGUUUGAUCCUGGCUCAGAACGAACGCUGGCGGCGUGCCUAACACAUGCAAGUCGAGCGUGAAAGUCCCUUCGGGGGCGAGUAAAGCGGCAGACGGGUGAGUAAUACAUAGGUAAUCUACCUUCGAGUUUGGGAUAACCCUGCGAAAGUGGGGCUAAUACCGGAUAAGACCACACGGCUUAAGUCGCGUGGUAAAAGGUGGCUUAUUUUUUAAAUGAGCUAUCACUUGAGGAUGAGCCUGUGGCCUAUCAGCUUGUUGGUGAGGUAAGAGCUUACCAAGGCUAUGACGGGUAGCUGGUCUGAGAGGACGACCAGCCACACUGGGACUGAGACACGGCCCAGACUCCUACGGGAGGCAGCAGUGGGGAAUAUUGGGCAAUGGGCGCAAGCCUGACCCAGCGACGCCGCGUGGGUGAUGAAGGCCUUCGGGUUGUAAAGCCCUGUCAUGUGGAAAGAACAGUCUCGUGGUGAAUAUCCACGGAUUUGACGUACCACAGGAGAAGCACCGUACUCCUG
This 515-nucleotide ribosomal RNA is filed under the name uncultured bacterium. RNAcentral's name for it is "bacterial SSU rRNA". It matches the Rfam family "Bacterial small subunit ribosomal RNA", at positions 10 to 503 of the family's 1533-position model. The record is from RNAcentral.